This is a long non-coding RNA of Betta splendens (Siamese fighting fish), 1033 nucleotides long. RefSeq lists it as uncharacterized. NCBI's taxonomy places the organism in Eukaryota, Metazoa, Chordata, Actinopteri, Anabantiformes, Osphronemidae. The transcript is spliced from 3 exons. The record is from RefSeq and is a predicted model, not a curated record.
CUACAGCUCGGAAACCAGCUACACAUCAAAGGAGAUCAAGGACGAAGGCUUUGAUUCAGAGGAACAUGGCUGCAGAGUCAAGGAGCCACCACUCGAAUCCCAGCUGACAUGAUGAGAAAAGGUGAUAAUGCUUGUUGGACCUCCCUGCUACCGAUCCAUCCAGUCAUGAAGAGCCCACGGGAGAGCAGUGAAACGCUGCCACACAUGGCUCAGGCGCCGAGGGAAGGAUGCACGUCUCCCACAGGCCCCGCGUCAUGGCCUAGAUACUGUACCUGCCUCGCAUCCGAGUGGGAGGCAGCGGGAGCGAUGACAAAUCCCGCCGGGAUGCGCUUCGGCGAGGGAUUCUCUAAAAUGAUUAUCUGGACAGCCGAGGUGGAAAUCCAGUGAUUCACAACAUAAUAUAAAUCACUGCAGCACAAAAGUGCCAGUUGAAACCUAUCACUUCAUUCGUCCUGCACGUUGUGGUCCACGUCGCCAUGGCAGCGGGCUGGAUGUCCAUCCUCCUUCCCAGCUUUGCUCUUCACCGCCUCCUGGGAAAUCCUGUGGAGUUUCCAGGCCAGGGAGGAUAUGUAAUCUCUCCAGCUUCUUCUGGCUCUGCCCUGGGGUGUUUUCCCAAUAGAACGUGCCUAAAAUACCUCCGUAGGCAUGAAUCCAAAUGGCACCUGAACCAACUCAUCCUCUUCUCAACACAAAGAAGCAGUCUUACUCGUCGUACGUCUGAGCUGCUCACCGUGUCCCUGAGGCUGAGCCCCACAUACUAUGGGUCACAAUGUAGAUCAACUGGUAAACCAAGAGCUUCUGGUGAGACUUCAAACGUGGUUUGUUACAGAUAACCAGUUAUUAGAUUAACUCUGCAACCAUGAUAAUAUCUUCACUUUGUUUAUUAGAGCAUCAAACAUGAUGUAUACAGUAUGUUUACAUGUAAUUUGCUAACUGUGACUUAUUCUGAAUCUCUGUUAUUGCCUUGAAUUCUAAUUAAUUCUCGCAUUAAUUAGCAAACUCAUUAUAAAGCAUCGCUUCAUUCACUGAAUAA